ACAUACUCAUGCAUUUUUAUUUUUAAAAAUUAAACUCCUCAUAGUGACCCAUGUCAGAGCAAACUGUGGCCUUGACCCACUGUCUGGCCUCUGCCCAUAGGCUGCAGGCAUUGAAGUGAGUUACACAGUG
Small nucleolar RNA from Myotis lucifugus (little brown bat), 130 nucleotides. Ensembl annotates it as small nucleolar RNA SNORA42/SNORA80 family. Lineage: Eukaryota; Metazoa; Chordata; Mammalia; Chiroptera; Vespertilionidae. The record is from Ensembl.